This 743-nucleotide long non-coding RNA is filed under the name Mytilus galloprovincialis (Mediterranean mussel). The record is from RNAcentral. Lineage: Eukaryota; Metazoa; Mollusca; Bivalvia; Mytilida; Mytilidae.
CAUUUUUAUACGCCCGUCGUCUUUUAGACGGGACGUAUUAUGGUAUACCGUUGUCCGUCCGUCCGUCUGUCGUCCACACUUUGGACAAUAACUCAAAAACACUUUCACCAAUUUCCAUGAAACUUAAGUGAAUUGUUUAUAUCUAUUGACGUAAGCUCCCUUUCGUUUUUUUUUAAUUUCAGAUUUUAAGUUUUGGAUUUAUGGGGCUUUAUUCAUAAAAAAGGGGGGAUUUUCAACACUUCGGACAAUAACUCAAAAAGGCUUUCACCAAUGUCCAUGAAACUUUGGUGAAUUGUUUAUAUCUAUUGAUGUAAGCUCCCUUUCAAUUUUUUAUAAAUUUCAGAUUUUAAGUUUUGGAUUUAUGGGGCUUUAUUCAUAAAAAAAGGGGGAUUUUUAACACUUCGGACAAUAACUCUAAAAAGCUUUCACCAAUGUCCAUGAAACUUUGGUGAAUUGUUUAUAUCUAUUGAUGUAAGCUCCCUUUCAAUUUUUAUAAAUUUCAGAUUUAAAGUUUUGCAUUUAUGGGGCUUUAUUCAUAAAAAAAGGGGGAUUUUCAACACUUCGGACAAUAACUCAAAAAGGCUUUCACCAAUGUCCAUGAAACUUUGGUGAAUUGUUUAUAUCUAUUGAUGUAAGCUCCCUUUCAAUUUUUAUAAAUUUCAGAUUUUAAGUUUUGGAUUUAUGGGGGCUUUAUUCAUAAAAAAGGGAGAUUUUCAACACUUCGGACAAUAACUCAAAAAGGC